UGGGAAGUGACGACACUCAUAUUCGUGACAUCCCACUGAUGUCUAAUGUAUUCGUACUGGCUGAUCCCA
RNAcentral lists this small nucleolar RNA (69 nucleotides) under Pteropus vampyrus (large flying fox). The record is from RNAcentral. Lineage: Eukaryota; Metazoa; Chordata; Mammalia; Chiroptera; Pteropodidae.